Molecule: ribosomal RNA, 59 nt
Filed under: uncultured bacterium
Lineage: Bacteria
Description: partial 16S ribosomal RNA
Source: RNAcentral
UGGAUUUGACAUAUAUUUGAUCGCUCUAGAGAUAGAGUUUUUCUUCGGAACAGAUAUAC